This 70-nucleotide transfer RNA is filed under the name Salmonella enterica subsp. enterica serovar Enteritidis. RNAcentral describes it as "tRNA-OTHER". It matches the Rfam family "tRNA". Rfam says of the family: Transfer RNA (tRNA) molecules are approximately 80 nucleotides in length. Their secondary structure includes four short double-helical elements and three loops (D, anti-codon, and T loops). The record is from RNAcentral. Lineage: Bacteria; Pseudomonadati; Pseudomonadota; Gammaproteobacteria; Enterobacterales; Enterobacteriaceae.
ACAGAGAUAGCUCAAAUGGUUAGAGCGCACACUUCAGCGUGAGGUUGGGGGUUCGAAUCCCCCUCCUGUU